CCUACGGGUGGCAGCAGUGGGGAAUAUUGGGCAAUGGGCGCAAGCCUGACCCAGCAACGCCGCGUGAAGGAAGACGGCCCUCGGGUUGUAAACUUCUUUUAACAGGGACGAAGAAAGUGACGGUACCUGUUGAAUAAGCCACGGCUAACUACGUGCCAGCAGCCGCGGCAAUCCGGAGGUGGCAAUCGUUAUCCGGCUUUACUGGGUGUAAAGGGCGUGUAGGCGGGAGAGCAAGUCAGACGUGAAAUUCCAGGGCUCAACCCUGGAACUGCGUUUGAAACUGUUCUUCUUGAGUGAUGGAGAGGCAGGCGGAAUGCCGUGUGUAGCGGUGAAAUGCGUAGAUAUACGGAGGAACACCAGUGGCGAAGGCAGCCUGCUGGACAGUAACUGACGCUGAGGCGCGAAAGCGUGGGGAGCAAACAGGAAUAGAUACCCGAGUAGUC
RNAcentral lists this ribosomal RNA (443 nucleotides) under uncultured bacterium. RNAcentral describes it as "partial 16S ribosomal RNA". It matches the Rfam family "Bacterial small subunit ribosomal RNA", at positions 338 to 795 of the family's 1533-position model. The record is from RNAcentral.